Molecule: long non-coding RNA, 977 nt
Filed under: Physcomitrium patens
Lineage: Eukaryota; Viridiplantae; Streptophyta; Bryopsida; Funariales; Funariaceae
Description: long non-coding RNA (PPAT_LNC011903)
Source: RNAcentral
AUUAAGAUUGACAGUUCAUUCAUUAGUUAUUGAAGUUUAAAUUUGUUAUAGGAAUUACUAGGAUUUAGUUAGGAUUCAAUUUAGGGUUUAGGAUUUGAUUAGGGUUUGGUUUUAGAUUUAGGAUUUGAUUAGGAUUUGAUUCAAGGUUAGGAUUUGGUUAGGAUUUGAUUUAGGAUUUGAUUUAGGAUUUAAGAUUUGAUUAGGAUUUGAUUAGGGUUUGAUUUAGGAUUUGAUUAGAGCUUGAUUUAGGAUUAAGAUUUGAUUAGGAUUUGAUUGGAAUUUGAUUUAGGAUUCGAUUUAAGGUUAGGAUUUUUUUAAGGUUUGAUUUAGGAUUCAGGAUUUGGUUAGGAUUUGAUUUAGGGUUAGAAUUUGGUUAGGAUUUGAUUUAGGAUUUAAGAUUUGAUUAAGAUUUGAUUCAGGAUUUAGAAUUUAGUUAGGAUUUGAUUUAGGAUUUAAGAUUUUAUUAGGAUAUAUUUAAGAUUUAAGAUUUAGUUAAUUUUUGGCCUAAAGUUUGAAUGAAGUCUAAUAAGAAUUUAACUAGGAUUAAAUUAAGAUUGAAUCAAGAUAUAUUUGAGAUAUAUUUGUGAUCAUUCAAAUAUUUCUUUGAGAUUUCUUAUUAUUUCUUUGUAAUUUCUUUGAGGUUUCUUUGAAUUUGAUUAAAGCUUGAUUAAUAUUAUUAUGGUCUAAUUAGUGUUUAAUUAGUGUUUUAUUAGAAUUAAGAUUUUGUUGUUGCAAUUUCCAUUCUACCUUCCACAGCCAAGUAUCCGAAGCAUCUUCAAGCAAGAGUUCACUUAUUACAAAAAUUUAAUGAAAAAAUAUUUAUUAUCAUCCAUUGAACCAUAUCAUGUUUUCCAAAUACCUUUACAAAUGCUUCUAAAAAAGCUUCAAAGUUGCUCAUGAUUAGUAAUUUCCUCUCAAAUAAAAGAACAAAUCAAGAUAAGACUUAUCCUGUGAACAAGGUUCAACUAAAUCAACUC